This 1155-nucleotide long non-coding RNA is filed under the name Cricetulus griseus (Chinese hamster). RNAcentral describes it as "lncRNA (ENSCGRG00015031546.1)". Lineage: Eukaryota; Metazoa; Chordata; Mammalia; Rodentia; Cricetidae. The record is from RNAcentral.
GCCACUAAGAGUCAAAGAUCAAUUCAGACAGAAUCCCAACUAGGGAGUGGGGUAGGCAUCAGCAAAGACCCCACCCACCUCAGACAAGAUUUAAGAUGUGGUCCUAUAAACUAUGUAUCUGACACAUGCAUAUCCACAUCCACACAUAUGGAGGUUUAAGCUCACCACUAGCAGUUAACAGCUGUCCUAGUACCUUUGCUUGUGGAGACAGUUCGGAACGGGGACUUCCAUAUUGUGAAAGCAGCUCCACUUCCCCAAUAGGAUUUUUGAAGUUAACCGUAACUAAGCUUAUCUUCUCUAUUGUCCAGUUUUGAUACAUGCUACCAUAACAAGCACCAGAACAAGGCAAUUAGCCACUAGUAUUUGGCACUGCAGAGUGCAACCCAUAUUUCCUGGGUUACAAUAUAAGCACUGCCCAAAUGGACUUUACAGAAAAGCUGAAGGCCAAGACACUAAAGGCAACCACAAGUACAACCUCAAGAGUACCAGAAAGGUGACCCUGAACAGAAUCCAGAGUGAAGAACAUGGAACUGAACAGGUGGGUCAAGGGCCAGUAAGAUUUUGUUCCAAAGAUGAAGGCCAGCCAAUCACAUUUAAAAUGGGCUUUAAUGUGAUCCUUCAAAAAACCAUGCUGGACUCAGUUCCCAUUGUGAAAGGACUUUGGGGAAAGGACUAGGGCUUUCUUCACCUACCAGUGCCAACUGUCCAGGGUCAUACUUGAGCUGGACAAGCUCAAGUAUGCCAUAGCAACAUUUAUGGGGCAUUCCUCAAAACUUAUGGCUUAAGUUUUGUUUGCCUCCCCCCUUGUAGGAUACAGCUGCAAGACACCAUCUUCACUCAGGAACCACACCUGGCAUAAAAUCUGAUACCCCUCCCCCCAGGAUAGCAUCAAGCUAUGUGCCCCAGAGGGGGCCCGUAAGUGCAAGGAUUACAGUUCCACCACCAUGCCUGGCCACUCACUAGUUUUUUUCUGUCUUUCCGCUGGUGAUUUACUAUCUUGGUAUCUUUCUAAUCAUGAGUGUAUUUUCUACGAAGUUUUAUCAAUUGGCAGGAAACAUUUGGUAAAUUUUGAAUAAGAAAGACACAAUAAACUAGCACAAUUAAAAUCUGCUUCAAAGCCGGGCAGUGGUGGUGCACGCCUUAAUCCCAGCACUC